Molecule: long non-coding RNA, 1002 nt
Filed under: Astyanax mexicanus (Mexican tetra)
Lineage: Eukaryota; Metazoa; Chordata; Actinopteri; Characiformes; Acestrorhamphidae
Description: lncRNA (ENSAMXG00005005921.1)
Source: RNAcentral
CCGCGGCUGUAGGGCGGCGCUGCUGUAAAUCCCCCGAGUCUCAGCGCUGCGUUGGUGUUGAAUUGAAACCGAGUGCUUGCUAACGCAAAAUAAUUGCUUCGUUUACUAUGUUAAACAUUAUAUAGCGAAACCGGACUUUAAUCAUUGAAUUAAUAUAAACCCGUACACUUUAUUUACAGGAGUUUCGGGUUCAACUGAAGAAAGGUUAGUUUAGUUUGGGGCUCGUUUUUUUCUGUUAGCUAACAGAUUUAGCACCGAGCUAACAGGCUAACGCUAAUAACGGGGCUGCGCUGGAGGCACGCGCGCACAUCAGUCGCACACACCACGCAGUUUAUAAUUAUAUUACAGUAGUUUAUAUAUAAUUAGUCAUUUAUAGAGGUUAUUUAAGCCUGUAGUCAUGAUUAAUCCGCGGUAUCUGCUUAAAUAUGCGUAAAUCUGCAGCUUUCGCCUGCCGGAACACAGUAUGCUCAGAUGUACUGGGCGGGGCUAUGUUGUUGGACGUAUUGACGUGAGAGACGUUUCCCACCAAUCAGAAGAAGGCGUGGUUUGUCGUCACAGAAACCCAGCGUUUUUAAGAUUUUGACAGAAACACAUUUUAAAGAAGAGGAGCGACCAGGUAAAACAUUAAUGUUCCUCCUCCUCCUCCUUUUCUCAUUGUUACUAUUACUUGCUAUAAAUUAUUGUAAAAUAAUCAUAUUUUUGCGAUUGUUUCCAGCUGUAAAGAUGGAAAAGUCCAGCAGUGCGUCUGAGCAGCCACGCCGCAGCCCAGUCGAAGACGAGUUGGAUGGGUUUCCAGUUUUGAGGGCAGUCGAGGAGGACUGGGACAGCAGCUCCAGUUCAAAAACCCAGCACAGCGACGACCCUGACGAGAACGAAAAUGAGAAAGCCCAGCAGUCUCGAACGAAGGAGGGAACGUCCCGAAAUGAGCCCAGUGUAAGUUGUAUUAAAAAUAAAAUAAAAAAAGCAGCUGUGUUCGUCUCUGCUGUAGCAGUAACAAGACCC